UUGAAUUUGAAUUUAUUAAAUUCAGUAUAUAAAUUAUUACAAAAAUAACAAUUUUUAUACUAGGCAGAGUGACAAUAGGACACGAAGUCCCUUACAAGGUUAACUGCCUCACUCAUUACAAUUACACUAAAAUCAAAGUCAGUCAACAAGUACAUAAAUUCAUGGUGUUGACACUACGACAUUUUGGACAAAUAAUUUUGUACGACCUGAUGUUGUCCCCAUCAAAAACUGAUCGUAACCUUUCAACAUAGAAUUCUUUCAACUUCACUCUAAACUCAGUUAAGGAACUACUAGCCUUAAUAUUGUUAGGUAAAGCAUUCCAAAUAUUUACAAUACGUAUAAAAUAAGAAUCUCUAAAACUGGAGGUUUUUGGAAGUUUUGUCGUAAAUACAGACCUGAAGACGAGCGCCUUGUAACUCCAGCACAAAACGUUAAGUAAUUAGAUAAAUCUAUAGUAUAUAUGCCCACUUUACACUUAAAGAAGAAUAUUAGAUCUAAGUAUUCCAGCCAGUAGCUAACAGGUAAUAGCUUUAACUGGACAAGUCGAUCACGAUAGUUUGCUUCCGUAUAUCCACAUAUAAAUUUAGUUGAUCUACGUUGAACGGACUCCAGCAGAAAGAUAUUACGUAUAACGGACUGGGGGGCCCACAAUUGGCUACAAUAACCGAAACGAGAUCUAACAAUUGCUAUAUAAAGGGACUUAAGGGCAUUACGAGACAUGUCGUUUGAACAGUUUCUUUUUAAAAAUCCAAGCAUUCGGUUUGCUCUAGCUGUAAUUUGAUCAAUGUGAGAAUUCCUGGAUAAGUCACAAGAUAUUGACACCCCGAGGUCGACUUGACUUGAUGCACACUUCAAUUUUUCGUUCCAAUUG
Paramuricea clavata is the source of this 871-nucleotide non-coding RNA. Lineage: Eukaryota; Metazoa; Cnidaria; Anthozoa; Malacalcyonacea; Plexauridae. The record is from the annotation of a GenBank genome assembly.